UUCCAGACUCCUACGGGAGGCAGCAGUGGGGAAUAUUGGGCAAUGGACGCAAGUCUGACCCGGCAACGCCGCGUGAAGGAAGAAGGCUUUCGGGUUGUAAACUUCUUUUAAGGGGGAAGAGCAGAAGACGGUACCCCUUGAAUAAGCCACGGCUAACUACGUGCCAGCAGCCGCGGUAAUACGUAGGUGGCAAGCGUUGUCCGGAUUUACUGGGUGUAAAGGGCGUGCAGCCGGAGAGACAAGUCAGAUGUGAAAUCCACGGGCUCAACCCGUGAACUGCAUUUGAAACUGUUUCCCUUGAGUGUCGGAGAGGUAAUCGGAAUUCCUUGUGUAGCGGUGAAAUGCGUAGAUAUUAGGAGGAACACCAGUGGCGAAGGCGACUUUCUGGACUGUACCUGACGCUGAGGCGCGAAAGCGUGGGUAGCGAACGGGAUUAGAUACCCCGGUAA
This 449-nucleotide ribosomal RNA is filed under the name uncultured bacterium. RNAcentral describes it as "bacterial SSU rRNA". It matches the Rfam family "Bacterial small subunit ribosomal RNA", at positions 329 to 793 of the family's 1533-position model. The record is from RNAcentral.